GAUGAACGCUGGCGGCGUGCCUAAUACAUGCAAGUCGAGCGAACAGACGAGGAGCUUGCUCCUUUGACGUUAGCGGCGGACGGGUGAGUAACACGUAGGUAACCUACCUAUAAGACUGGGAUAACUUCGGGAAACCGGAGCUAAUACCGGAUAAUAUUUCGAACCGCAUGGUUCGAUAGUGAAAGAUGGCUUUGCUAUCACUUAUAGAUGGACCUGCGCCGUAUUAGCUAGUUGGUAAGGUAACGGCUUACCAAGGCAACGAUACGUAGCCGACCUGAGAGGGUGAUCGGCCACACUGGAACUGAGACACGGUCCAGACUCCUACGGGAGGCAGCAGUAGGGAAUCUUCCGCAAUGGGCGAAAGCCUGACGGAGCAACGCCGCGUGAGUGAUGAAGGUCUUCGGAUCGUAAAUCUCUGUUAUUAGGGAAGAACAAACGUGUAAGUAACUGUGCACGUCUUGACGGUACCUAAUCAGAAAGCCACGGCUAACUACGUG
Molecule: ribosomal RNA, 497 nt
Filed under: uncultured bacterium
Lineage: Bacteria
Description: partial 16S ribosomal RNA
Rfam family: Bacterial small subunit ribosomal RNA
Source: RNAcentral